Molecule: ribosomal RNA, 419 nt
Filed under: bacterium
Lineage: Bacteria
Description: partial 16S ribosomal RNA
Rfam family: Bacterial small subunit ribosomal RNA
Source: RNAcentral
UGGGGGAUAUUGCACAAUGGGCGAAAGCCUGAUGCAGCGACGCCGCGUGGGGGAUGAAGUCCUUCGGGUUGUAAACUUCUUUUGCUCUGAACAAGGCAUGCUCAUGGGUGUGUUGAGUGUAGGGGUUGAUUAGCGCCGGCUAACUACGUGCCAGCAGCCGCGGUAAUACGUAGGGCGCGAGCGUUGUCCGGAAUUAUUGGGCGUAAAGGGCUUGUAGGUGGCUGGUUGCGUCUGUCGUGAAAGCUCAUGGCUUAACUGUGGGUUUGCGGUGGGUAAAGGCUGGCUUGAGUGCAGUAGGGAUGGCUGGAAUUCCUGGUGUAGCAGUGGAAUGCGCAGAUAUCAGGAGGAAUACCGGUGGCGAAGGCGGGUCUCUGGGCUGUUACUGACACUGAGGAGCGAAAGCAUGGGGAGCGAACAGG